UUCACUCAAAUCUAUAUGGAGUUGGAACGUUUGCUUACAUAUGGCGAAAGGGGCGCUGUUCCAACUGCAUACACAUUUGAGUUA
This 84-nucleotide microRNA precursor is filed under the name Bombyx mori (domestic silkworm). Its description in RNAcentral is "mir-2807 microRNA precursor family". It matches the Rfam family "mir-2807 microRNA precursor family". The record is from Rfam by way of RNAcentral. Lineage: Eukaryota; Metazoa; Arthropoda; Insecta; Lepidoptera; Bombycidae.